RNAcentral lists this ribosomal RNA (466 nucleotides) under Vreelandella stevensii. RNAcentral's name for it is "partial 16S ribosomal RNA". It matches the Rfam family "Bacterial small subunit ribosomal RNA", at positions 338 to 795 of the family's 1533-position model. Lineage: Bacteria; Pseudomonadati; Pseudomonadota; Gammaproteobacteria; Oceanospirillales; Halomonadaceae. The record is from RNAcentral.
CCUACGGGAGGCAGCAGUGGGGAAUAUUGGACAAUGGGCGAAAGCCUGAUACAGCCAUGCCGCGUGUGUGAAGAAGGCCUUCGGGUUGUAAAGCACUUUCAGUGGGGAAGAAAGCCUUGGGGCUAAUACCCUCGAGGAAGGACAUCACCCACAGAAGAAGCACCGGCUAACUCCGUGCCAGCAGCCGCGGUAAUACGGAGGGUGCGAGCGUUAAUCGGAAUUACUGGGCGUAAAGCGCGCGUAGGCGGUCUGAUAAGCCGGUUGUGAAAGCCCCGGGCUCAACCUGGGAACGGCAUCCGGAACUGGCAGGCUAGAGUGCAGGAGAGGAAGGUAGAAAUCCCGGUGUAGCGGUGAAAUGCGUAGAGAUCGGGAGGAAUACCAGUGGCGAAGGCGGCCUUCUGGACUGACACUGACGCUGAGGUGCGAAAGCGUGGGUAGCAAACAGGAUUAGAUACCCUGGGUAGUC